RNAcentral lists this ribosomal RNA (722 nucleotides) under Lulworthia atlantica. Its description in RNAcentral is "eukaryotic LSU rRNA". The stretch from base 309 to 462 matches the Rfam family "5.8S ribosomal RNA". Lineage: Eukaryota; Fungi; Ascomycota; Sordariomycetes; Lulworthiales; Lulworthiaceae. The record is from RNAcentral.
UCACACCCGCCCGUCGCUACGACCGAUUGAAUGGCUCAGGGAGGCUUCCGGACUGGCUCGGGGAGGUCGGCAACGACCACCCUGGGCCGGAAAGCUAUCCAAACUCGGUCAUUUAGAGGAAGUAAAAGUCGUAACAAGGUCUCCGUUGGUGAACCAGCGGAGGGAUCAUUACCGUGCCGGCGCUCAGCGCUAGUUCAACCCUUCUGUGGAAAUAUCAAAACGUUUGCCUCGGCGGGCCUGGCCCGCCGCCGGCACCAACACAACUUUUCCACACUGCAUUCUGAGUGGGCGUAGACCUAAUAAGUCAAAACUUUCAGCAACGGAUCUCUUGGCUCUGGCAUCGAUGAAGAACGCAGCGAAAUGCGAUAAUUAGUGGGAAUUGCAGAACUCAGUGAAUCAUCGAAUCUUUGAACGCACAUUGCGCCCGCCGGCAUCCCGGCGGGCAUGCCUGUCCGAGCGUCAUAUCAACCCCUCGGGCCACCUAUCCACCAUGCGUGGGCGGGGUCGGCCCGGCGUUGGGGCACCGCUGGCUGGUUUCCUCCAGCCCGCCGGGCCCCUAAAUCCAGCGGCGGACGCCUCCUGGCCACCCAGCGCAGUAUAAUCGCUAUCGCUGAGGUGCAUGGGGGGCUGCCCUGCCUACCGCCUAGCGGCACACACAACGUUUGACCUCGGAUCAGGUAGGACUACCCGCUGAACUUAAGCAUAUCAAUAAGCCGGAGGAA